This 738-nucleotide long non-coding RNA is filed under the name Zostera marina. RNAcentral describes it as "long non-coding RNA (ZMAR_LNC004019)". Lineage: Eukaryota; Viridiplantae; Streptophyta; Magnoliopsida; Alismatales; Zosteraceae. The record is from RNAcentral.
CUGAUUUAGUUGUAACUAUCUUUCUAACAAGUUGGACAGAUUGUUAUUCUGACUAAAUUGAAAAAGUGAUACAUAACAUAUAUCAAUUCAACAAUUAAUGUUGAAUAGUUAAAAAACAAAUACACAACCAGAAAAUAUAUAAAAAUGAAAUGAAUAUCGAAAUCCGUACACAAAAAUUAAAUGAAUUGAUACAGACAAGUGUGAUUGAUGGGUUUGUUUUUGUGAAAUGGAAUUGCGUUCUUCACUUGUGAUAGUUCACCCCGAGAUGUUUGGAGUAGAAGACAAUUGAAUGACAGGCAGAGAUGACCAUACCAUGGAAAAGUUGUACCAUGACAAGCUCAGCGUAAAAUGGCGCAUAAAGCUUCAGCGCACCAGAUAUUUAUCCUGUAAUAUUUAUUACAAUAAUCACUAACUAACUUCUAACUGACAUCUCUAUAUUAAUCACAAAUGUUUUAACUAUAAUGACAACUAUCCUUUAUUAUAACUCAUAUGAGUGCAAGAUAUUAAUAUAUAAUGAUAGAUCGUCGUGAAAAAAUUCAGAUCUGACAAUUUAUGUAAAGAACAUGACGUCUGACAUGUCUCAGUUUUACAUUGACACUAGUACGACACGAACACGAUCCCGGUCAAAAAAUUAACAUGAAUACGAUCGAAUCUGUGUCAACAUGACACGAUUGACAAAAAUAUUUGUGUCGACAACAUGACUGAAUAUUCGUGAUUUAUUAAUCGAACGAGGUCCCU